This 328-nucleotide long non-coding RNA is filed under the name Homo sapiens (human). RNAcentral's name for it is "HSALNT0367645". Lineage: Eukaryota; Metazoa; Chordata; Mammalia; Primates; Hominidae. The record is from RNAcentral.
CUUGCAGCCUCCUGCCUAGAGAAUCUAUAGAGGCGGGUGAGAGUGUGUCUUCCUUAAUAUAUGUCAGCAGUGGAGUGGUGUGCUUAAGGAGAGAGAGACUUGGAAAAAUACAGACCGAGAACAAGGCCAUGUGGAGAUAGAGGCAGAGACUGAAGUUGUACCACCAAAGGCAAAGAAUAUCAAGUAUUAUCAGUAACCACAGGAAGCUGGAAGAGGCCAGGAAAGGUUUUUCUUAGAGACCUUGGAAGGAGCCUGACCCUGGAACACCUUGAUUUUAGACUUCUGACCCUCAAAAUUGUGAAAGAAUAAAUUUCUGUUGUUUUAAGCA